AAACUACUCCCUCCGUCCGGAAAUACUUGUCGUAGAAAUGGAUACAAAUGGAUGUAUCUAGAACUAAAAUACAUCUAGAUACAUCCAUUCCUCCGACAAGUACUUUCGGACGGAGGGAGUAGUUG
Triticum aestivum (bread wheat) is the source of this 125-nucleotide non-coding RNA. Lineage: Eukaryota; Viridiplantae; Streptophyta; Magnoliopsida; Poales; Poaceae. The record is from Rfam.